CUUUACAAUGCCGGCAACGGCGAUAAGGGGACCUCGAGUGCCAGGUUACAAAUCUGGCUGUCGUGAUGCCUAAAAGCAUUGCAUAGCAAGGGCCGGGCAAGACCGGUGCCAGCCGCCGCGGUAAUACCGGCGGCUCGAGUGGUGGCCACUUUUAUUGGGCUUAAAGCGUUCGUAGCUGGGUUGUUAAGUCUCUUGGGAAAUCUGACGGCUCAACCGUCAGGCGUCCAAGGGNUACUGGCAAUCUUGGAACCGGGAGAGGUGAGGGGUACUUCGGGGGUAGGAGUGAAAUCCUGUAAUCCUCGAGGGACCACCUGUGGCGAAGGCGCCUCACCAGAACGGCUUCGACAGUGAGGGACGAAAGCUGGGGGAGCAAACCGGAUUA
Molecule: ribosomal RNA, 382 nt
Filed under: uncultured archaeon
Lineage: Archaea
Description: bacterial SSU rRNA
Rfam family: Archaeal small subunit ribosomal RNA
Source: RNAcentral